Long non-coding RNA from Podarcis raffonei (Aeolian wall lizard), 770 nucleotides. RefSeq lists it as uncharacterized. The record is from RefSeq and is a predicted model, not a curated record. The transcript has 2 exons. NCBI's taxonomy places the organism in Eukaryota, Metazoa, Chordata, Lepidosauria, Squamata, Lacertidae.
ACAGCUCCUGUCUCUCGGCUUGGCCUACCCCACAGGGCCAUUGUGAGGGUAAAGCUGCUGGCGAUCGGAAGAACCACCCAUGUCACCCUGAAUUCCUUGCAAGAAGGGCCAGGCAAAAGUGUAAAAAAUAAAUGAAACAGGCUUCAAACGUGCAUUCAGUCACUCAACCAUCUGUCUCAGUAGCCAAUGGAGGAGAAGACUUCACCUUUUGGGGGUGAAGUCAAACCAUUGGGGAAAGAAACAAACUGCAGAACCAAUUGUGUCACUUUAGAACAGGCUGUCAUUUAGAACAACGGCUUAAGUUUCCUGAAGGCAGGUCCAUAUCCUUUGCAGUCACCUCACCUAGUGCUAAAAGUUGCAAAGGGCCACUUCAGUGAGGCUAUUGCUGCAGCUGUCAACCUCAGAAAACUCAGACCCUGCAUAAUUUCAAAUUUUGCAUGGCUGUCAUAGACAAAGCAUGCAAACAGGUCCUUUAGAAUAACCACCUGAUUUCCAUAUACAUUGCUGUGCAAAUCACACGGCUGGUUUGAAGGCCAAAGUUCGACCGUGGAAUAAUUUUGCUCUUUUUGACUCAAAUCUGUCAUGAGCUCAAGUCACUGAGCAUGUCUGACGGUCAAGCACCAGUUUCUGAAUCAAAGUGGAUAACUGCCUCUUGUUUCUGUUCCUGUUUUUUAAUUUUAUUUUAGGCUUUUCAUCUUCAAAAGGGCUGAAGUGGUGGCCUCAUUUAUACAUCAAACUUUCUUCCUUUAAAAGCAAACAUAAUUUUCCAG